Arachis ipaensis is the source of this 1412-nucleotide non-coding RNA. The record is from RefSeq and is a predicted model, not a curated record. NCBI's taxonomy places the organism in Eukaryota, Viridiplantae, Streptophyta, Magnoliopsida, Fabales, Fabaceae.
UUUUUUAACACAUUCCCCCACCUAAACCUAGCCCCCUCCCUAAAUACAACCCAGAAGUAGUAGAUAGAAAAAGGAAAGAAGGAAAAGGGAGAAAGGAGAUAACUCAAGAACGAAGAAGAGAACAGACCGCACCAUGUCCUGCUGCUUCGCCGCCGUCGCCAUCCAUGUCGCACGCGAGAGAGCCAUCGAGCUCAAGGGUGAAAGACGCAUGUGAGAGAGGGAGGAACCGCGCUACUGCCGCCAUCCAGCCCACCUUGCCAUUGUCGCCAUUGUCGUCGUCACCUCAAGCUCGUCGCCCUUUGUCCCCGUCGCAAGCUCGUCUUCCUGCUUCGGCCAUCAACUCCUCUUUCGCCGUGAGUUGGUCUCUGGACAGGUGAAACAUUACAAGAUGAGUAAACAAAUUGAGGUGAAUUGUUGGUGCUGAUGGUGCUCAGAUCCCUCAGAAGCUAAUAUCUAUAAGUUAUAAAAUUGAGUUGAGCUUGCUUUUUUCUUUUCUUGUGUCCUGCUUUAUUUUAGUGGAAAGGAUAAUAAACCACGCGUCAUAUUUAUUAUUUUUAUUACACACAGCAUUGUAUUCUGUUUUUGCUGAUAAUUGCAUUUAACUUAUGACAGUUAUAUGUGCCUGUUAAUAAAUAUGGUCAAUUUUAUAUAUGUGUUAUGUAUGUUAUGGAUGCAAGCUUUUUCAUAUAUAGUGCUGAAUGGGAGUUAUGUAUGCAAGCUUUUAUAUGUAUUAUGUAUAUUAUGGAUGCAAGCCUUCUCUUAUAUAAUAUGGCCAAUUUUAUAGAGCUUCAAUUUAAAUAAGGGCAAAUUACAUUGACCCACUCUCCUUGCAGUUUUGGAAAUUAGUAGUUGCUCCUUUUUGGUUUCACUUUUACAUAUAUAAUGCUGAAUGGGAGUGGGAGCCGGGUAUUUGUAUGUCAUUUUUUUAUUUUUAUUUUUUCAUUUUUCUUUUUUAAGGCAUAUUUGGUGGAAAUUCAAUAUAAAGAAAGUUAUAAUUUAUGAAACAAGACUAGUCAAUGUUAUUUCAUCAAAAAUUAAUUGGCAAUUUGGCAUAAUUUAUCUUAGAUUGGCAUUGAACCUACUUCUUUGUAUGGUAUUUUUAAUGGGGUAACUUUUCUCUUUUCAUAGUGAUGUAAUGUUGUGUUAGCAUAAAAAAAAAUUUGUUAUCAUUUUUUAUACAAUUUAUCAUCUCUUGUCUGCGAUCUAUCUUCUUUUUUUUCUUUUUCGGAUAUGUCUCAUGGUCUCUCCACAAUAAGGUAUAUCCUUGGUCUAUAUAGGUCCUUUACAGAGAGAGAUGCUUUAGCGUGCUUCAUUUUCAUUAAUGUCACUUCUUUAUUUGCAUUAAAGCUAGGCUUGUAUGAUUUCCAAUUAAACUGUAAGAAUUAGUGAGUAAAAUAUUAUUAUUUAUUUAU